GGGGAAUCUUUGGUAUCAGACGUGAUUUUCCAAUCACGGAGAGCAAGCAGAUUCCAAGUCCUCCGGCGUCUGAUCCUCCCCUGGAAGGGACGUCGGACACAAACGCGAGGUCCCCCAGCUGCCGCCCCCGGCGUGGUGGGGUGGGGGCCAGUUCUGCAGUCCACGAGGAGGGCGGUCUUAAGGUCCCUCUGCCUCUCACGGCAGGGCUCUCUGGAAUCUUCCAGGAGGGGAGCCAGAUGGAGCAACUGAUCUCAGGAGGAAGAAGUUGGACCGUCUAGCCAGAGAACUUCUACACAUCCCUCAGUGCCCAGCUACAUUGGCCCCUUCCUCAGGAGGUCUUUUCCUUCGACUCCCCUGGCAGAGCCAUGCUGGGUCCCGGGCUGGGCUGGGGCUGGGUUGUUACUGGGAUGAAACCACCAUGGGGAGAAAUCAGGAGAGCCUGCAGCGUGGUGGGGAGACCUCUGACCCUGACCAGUGAGACAGCAGGAGCAGCUGCCUGGGGCCUGGGUGGCAGGAGGGAGUGGCCUGAGGGAGAUGGCAGGGGAGGACAGGGCGGCAGAGCCACUCCAUUUGCAGCUGGCCGCAUGCUCUCUGCCUGCCCCGAUGUUUCCUGGGUUUGUCAAGCACACACAGUGGGGAUGGGGUGGGGGGCAAGUCUGAACCCUCGGCAGGGCAAGAUCACCCCCAUAAUCUUGCACUUGUCUGGGAAACUGAAGCUGAGACUUGGCUGUCCCACCAAGGGCCGAUCCAGCAAGGCGAUACACGCCUGCAACCCCAACAUGCAGGAGGCUGAGGCAGGAGGGCCCCCCCGCCGUGAAUUCCGGGUCAGCCUGAGUUACAUAGUGAGACGCCGCUCAAAAAGCCAAACAGCAAACAAAUAAAUGAACGAAAAGUA
This is a long non-coding RNA of Cavia porcellus (domestic guinea pig), 895 nucleotides long. RefSeq lists it as uncharacterized. The record is from RefSeq and is a predicted model, not a curated record. The transcript is spliced from 3 exons. Lineage: Eukaryota; Metazoa; Chordata; Mammalia; Rodentia; Caviidae.